RNAcentral lists this ribosomal RNA (1337 nucleotides) under Pseudomonas protegens. RNAcentral's name for it is "partial 23S ribosomal RNA". It matches the Rfam family "Bacterial large subunit ribosomal RNA", at positions 614 to 1955 of the family's 2925-position model. Lineage: Bacteria; Pseudomonadati; Pseudomonadota; Gammaproteobacteria; Pseudomonadales; Pseudomonadaceae. The record is from RNAcentral.
CGCGAACCGGCGAGUCAUGAUUACGUGCAAGGUUAAGGUGGAAAAACCGGAGCCGCAGCGAAAGCGAGUCUGAAAUGGGCGUAUGAAGUACGUAGUUAUGUACCCGAAACCAGGUGACCUACCCAUGUCCAGGGUGAAGGUGCGGUAAAACGCACUGGAGGCCCGAACCCGUGUCUGUUAAAAAAGGCUGGGAUGAGGUGUGGGUAGCGGUGAAAUUCCAAACGAACUUGGAGAUAGCUGGUUCUCUCCGAAAUCUCUUUAGGGGGAGCCUCGGAAUCGAGAAUCUUGGAGGUAGAGCACUGUUUGGACGAGGGGCCCGUCAUGGGUUACCGACUUCAGAUAAACUCCGAAUGCCAAUGAUUUAUGUCCGGGAGUCAGACGAUGAGUGAUAAGAUCCACCGUCGAAAGGGGAACAGCCCAGAUCACCAGUUAAGGUCCCUAAAUAUAUGCUAAGUGGAAAAGGAUGUGGAGUUGCAUAGACAACUAGGAUGUUGGCUCAGAAGCAGCCAUCAUUUAAAGAGUGCGUAAUAGCUCACUAGUCGAGUGAUUCUGCGCCGAAAAUGUACCGGGGCUAAGCAUAUUACCGAAACUGUGGAUGUGUCCUUUUGGACACGUGAUAGGAGAGCGUUCUAAGGGCGACGAAGUUAGACCGUGAGGACUAGUGGAGCGCUUAGAAGUGAGAAUGCCGGUAUGAGUAGCGAAAGACGGGUGAGAAUCCUGUCCACCGAAUGACUAAGGUUUCCUGGGGAAGGCUCGUCCUCCCAGGGUAAGUCGGGACCUAAGGCGAGGCCGAGAGGCGUAGUCGAUGGAUAACAGGUUGAGAUUCCUGUACCAGUUAAAUGCGUUUGAAUGAUGGAGGGACGCAGGAGGCUAAGCAAACCAGACGAUUGGAAGUGUCUGGCCAAGCAGUAAGUCAGGUUUAGAGUCAAAUGCUUUAAGCCGGGUUGACAAGCUGUGAUGGGGAGCGAAAUUAAAGUAGCGAAGUUGCCGAUGUCACACUGCCGAGAAAAGCUUCUAGUGAGUAUUUAACUGCCCGUACCGCAAACCGACACAGGUAGUCGAGGAGAGAAUCCUAAGGUGAGCGAGUGAACUCUCGUUAAGGAACUCGGCAAAAUGACCCCGUAACUUCGGGAGAAGGGGUGCUGGUCGCAAGACCAGCCGCAGUGAAAAGGCCCAGGCGACUGUUUAUCAAAAACACAGGUUUCUGCAAAAUCGUAAGAUGAAGUAUAGGGGCUGACGCCUGCCCGGUGCUGGAAGGUUAAAAGGAAGAGUUAGCUUCGGCGAAGCCCUGAAUUGAAGCCCCAGUAAACGGCGGCCGUAACUAUAACGGUCCUAAG